RNAcentral lists this ribosomal RNA (984 nucleotides) under uncultured Verrucomicrobiota bacterium. RNAcentral's name for it is "uncultured Verrucomicrobia bacterium partial 16S ribosomal RNA". It matches the Rfam family "Bacterial small subunit ribosomal RNA", at positions 364 to 1336 of the family's 1533-position model. The record is from RNAcentral. Lineage: Bacteria; Pseudomonadati; Verrucomicrobiota.
UUUCUCAAUGGGCGAAAGCUGAAGGAGCGACGCCGCGUGGAGGAUGAAGGCUUUCGGGUUGUAAACUCCUGUCAUUUVAMAACAAGUYGGACGCAGUAACUACGCGUCCAUUGAMAGUAUCAAAAGAMGAAGGGACGGCUAACUCUGUSCCAGCMGCCGCGGUAAUACAMAAGUCCCAAGCMUCGUUCGGMUUCAUUGGGCGUAAAGGGUGCGUAGGUGGCGCCGUAAGUMGGGUGUGAMAUUMCGGAGCUUAACUCCGAAACUGCAUUCCAUACUGCRGUGCUUGAAGACUGGAGAGGAGACUGGAAUUUACGGUGUAGCAGUGAAAUGCGUAGAGAUCAUAAGGAAGACCAGUGGCGAAGGCGGGUCUCUGGACAGUUCCUGACACUGAGGCACGAAGGCCAGGGGGAGCAAACGGGAUUAGAUACCCCGGUAGUCCUGGCAGUAAACGGUGCACGUUUGGUGUGGGAGGCUUCGACCCCUUCUGCGCCGGAACUAACGCGUUAAACGUGCCGCCUGGGGAGUACGGUCGCAAGAUUAAAACUCAAGAAAUUGACGGGGGCCCGCACAAGCGGUGGAGUAUGUGGCUUAAUUCGAUGCAACGCGAAGAACCUUACCUGGCCUUGACAUGCAUUUKUAAACCGGUGAAAGCCGGGGAGUGUCGAAAGABACKAUUUGCACAGGUGCUGCAUGGCUGUCGUCAGCUCGUGUCGUGAGAUGUUGGGUUAAGUCCCGCWACGAGBGCAACCCCUGUGWABUGUUGCCACUCCCUUGAUUGGGAAGCAYUYUGUUCAGACUGCCCUKUGADACGGGGAGGAAGGUGGGGACGACGUCAAGUCAGUAUGGSCCUUACGGCCAGGGCUGCACACGUACUACAAUGCCCAGUACAGAACGAUCCGAGACCGCAAGGUGGAGGAAAUCUAGUAAAACUGGGCCCAGUUCGGAUUGGAGUCUGCAACUCGACUCCAUGAAGCCGGAAUCGCU